UCCCUAGUGGCUUAGCUGGUAAAGAAUCCGCCUGCAAUGAGGGAGACCUGGGUUUGACCCCUGGUUUGGGAA
Non-coding RNA from Bos taurus (domestic cattle), 72 nucleotides. The record is from Rfam. Lineage: Eukaryota; Metazoa; Chordata; Mammalia; Artiodactyla; Bovidae.